This 976-nucleotide ribosomal RNA is filed under the name Escherichia coli. RNAcentral describes it as "partial 23S ribosomal RNA". It matches the Rfam family "Bacterial large subunit ribosomal RNA", at positions 911 to 1869 of the family's 2925-position model. RNAcentral also lists the same sequence under 1 other name. Lineage: Bacteria; Pseudomonadati; Pseudomonadota; Gammaproteobacteria; Enterobacterales; Enterobacteriaceae. The record is from RNAcentral.
UGUUUCGGCAAGGGGGUCAUCCCGACUUACCAACCCGAUGCAAACUGCGAAUACCGGAGAAUGUUAUCACGGGAGACACACGGCGGGUGCUAACGUCCGUCGUGAAGAGGGAAACAACCCAGACCGCCAGCUAAGGUCCCAAAGUCAUGGUUAAGUGGGAAACGAUGUGGGAAGGCCCAGACAGCCAGGAUGUUGGCUUAGAAGCAGCCAUCAUUUAAAGAAAGCGUAAUAGCUCACUGGUCGAGUCGGCCUGCGCGGAAGAUGUAACGGGGCUAAACCAUGCACCGAAGCUGCGGCAGCGACGCUUAUGCGUUGUUGGGUAGGGGAGCGUUCUGUAAGCCUGUGAAGGUGUGCUGUGAGGCAUGCUGGAGGUAUCAGAAGUGCGAAUGCUGACAUAAGUAACGAUAAAGCGGGUGAAAAGCCCGCUCGCCGGAAGACCAAGGGUUCCUGUCCAACGUUAAUCGGGGCAGGGUGAGUCGACCCCUAAGGCGAGGCCGAAAGGCGUAGUCGAUGGGAAACAGGUUAAUAUUCCUGUACUUGGUGUUACUGCGAAGGGGGGACGGAGAAGGCUAUGUUGGCCGGGCGACGGUUGUCCCGGUUUAAGCGUGUAGGCUGGUUUUCCAGGCAAAUCCGGAAAAUCAAGGCUGAGGCGUGAUGACGAGGCACUACGGUGCUGAAGCAACAAAUGCCCUGCUUCCAGGAAAAGCCUCUAAGCAUCAGGUAACAUCAAAUCGUACCCCAAACCGACACAGGUGGUCAGGUAGAGAAUACCAAGGCGCUUGAGAGAACUCGGGUGAAGGAACUAGGCAAAAUGGUGCCGUAACUUCGGGAGAAGGCACGCUGAUAUGUAGGUGAAGUCCCUCGCGGAUGGAGCUGAAAUCAGUCGAAGAUACCAGCUGGCUGCAACUGUUUAUUAAAAACACAGCACUGUGCAAACACGAAAGUGGACGUAUACGGUGUGACGCCUGCCCGGUGC